RNAcentral lists this unclassified non-coding RNA (227 nucleotides) under uncultured fungus. Its description in RNAcentral is "sequence contains ITS1, 5.8S rRNA gene". The stretch from base 179 to 227 matches the Rfam family "5.8S ribosomal RNA", at positions 1 to 49 of the family's 154-position model. Lineage: Eukaryota; Fungi. The record is from RNAcentral.
UUUCCGUAGGUGAACCUGCGGAAGGAUCAUUACUGAGUGAGGGCCUUCGGGCUCGACCUCCAACCCUUUGUGAACACAACUUGUUGCUUCGGGGGCGACCCUGCCGUUUCGACGGCGAGCGCCCCCGGAGGCCUUCAAACACUGCAUCUUUGCGUCGGAGUUUAAGUAAAUUAAACAAAACUUUCAACAACGGAUCUCUUGGUUCUGGCAUCGAUGAAGAACGCAGC